Molecule: ribosomal RNA, 301 nt
Filed under: uncultured bacterium
Lineage: Bacteria
Description: partial 16S ribosomal RNA
Rfam family: Bacterial small subunit ribosomal RNA
Source: RNAcentral
CAGCAGCCGCGGUAAUACGAAGGGUGCAAGCGUUAAUCGGAAUUACUGGGCGUAAAGCGUGCGUAGGCGGUGAGUUAAGUCUGCUGUGAAAUCCCCGGGCUCAACCUGGGAAUGGCAGUGGAUACUGGCUCGCUAGAGUGUGUCAGAGGAUAGUGGAAUUCCCGGUGUAGCGGUGAAAUGCGUGGAGAUCGGGAGGAACAUCAGUGGCGAAGGCGGCCAUCUGGGACAACACUGACGCUGAGGCACGAAAGCGUGGGGAGCAAACAGGAUUAGAUACCCGCGUAGUCCCUGUCUCUUAUAC